GCAUAUCAAUAAGCGGAGGAAAAGAAACUAACAAGGAUUCCCCUAGUAACGGCGAGUGAAGAGGGAAAAGCCCAAGAUUGAAAGCUGGCGUCUUCGGCGUCCGCAUUGUAAUCUCAAGAAGUGUUUUCCGCUUCGGACCAAGCCUAAGUCCCUUGGAAAAGGGCAUCGUAGAGGGUGAAAAUCCCGUACAUGGUUUGGAGCGCCCGGAGCUUUGUGAUACGCUUUCUAAGAGUCGAGUUGUUUGGGAAUGCAGCUCAAAAUGGGUGGUAAAUGCCAUCUAAGGCUAAAUAUUGGGGAGAGACCGAUAGCGAACAAGUACAGUGAUGGAAAGAUGAAAAGAACUUUGAAAAGAGAGUUAAACAGUACGUGAAAUUGCCAAAAGGGAAGGGUAGGAGGUCAGAGAUGCGGUCUGGGAUUCAGCCUUGCUUUUGCUUGGUGUUUUUCCCAGUUUGCAGGCCAACGUCGGUUUUGGGCACUGGAGAAGGGUGGGAGGAACGUGGCACUCUUCGGAGUGUGUUAUAGCCUCCUACUGGAUACAGCGACCGAGACCGAGGAACGCAGCGUACUCGAAAGAGCGGGCCCUCGGGCACCUUUACGCUUAGGACGUUGGCAUAAUGGCCCUCUACCACCCGUCUUGAAACACGGACCA
RNAcentral lists this ribosomal RNA (649 nucleotides) under Pattersoniomyces tillandsiae. Its description in RNAcentral is "partial large subunit ribosomal RNA". It matches the Rfam family "Eukaryotic large subunit ribosomal RNA", at positions 38 to 668 of the family's 3401-position model. Lineage: Eukaryota; Fungi; Basidiomycota; Ustilaginomycetes; Ustilaginales. The record is from RNAcentral.